Molecule: ribosomal RNA, 470 nt
Filed under: uncultured bacterium
Lineage: Bacteria
Description: partial 16S ribosomal RNA
Rfam family: Bacterial small subunit ribosomal RNA
Source: RNAcentral
GACGAACGCUGGCGGCGUGCUUAACACAUGCAAGUCGAACGCUGAAGCACCAGCUUGCUGGUGUGGAUGAGUGGCGAACGGGUGAGUAAUACGUGAGUAACCUGCCCUUGACUCUGGGAUAAGCCCGGGAAACUGGGUCUAAUACUGGAUGCUACAUGUCACCGCAUGGUGGUGUGUGGAAAGGGUUUACUGGUCUUGGAUGGGCUCACGGCCUAUCAGCUUGUUGGUGAGGUAAUGGCUCACCAAGGCGACGACGGGUAGCCGGCCUGAGAGGGUGACCGGCCACACUGGGACUGAGACACGGCCCAGACGCCUACGGGAGGCAGCAGUGGGGAAUAUUGCACAAUGGGCGAAAGCCUGAUGCAGCGACGCCGCGUGAGGGAUGACGGCCUUCGGGUUGUAAACCUCUUUCAGCAGGGAAGAAGCCACAAGUGACAGUACCUGCAGAAGAAGCGCCGGCUAACUACGUG